This 415-nucleotide ribosomal RNA is filed under the name uncultured bacterium. Its description in RNAcentral is "bacterial SSU rRNA". It matches the Rfam family "Bacterial small subunit ribosomal RNA", at positions 355 to 786 of the family's 1533-position model. The record is from RNAcentral.
UGAGGGAUAUUGGGCAAUGGGGGAAACCCUGACCCAGCGACGCCGCGUGAGGGAAGACGGUCUUCGGAUUGUAAACCUCUGUCUUUGGGGACGAAGAAGGACGGUACCCAAGGAGGAAGCUCCGGCUAACUACGUGCCAGCAGCCGCGGUAAUACGUAGGGAGCGAGCGUUGUCCGGAAUUACUGGGUGUAAAGGGAGCGUAGGCGGGAUUGCAAGUUGGAUGUGAAAACUGCGGGCUCAACCCGGAGAGUGCAUUCAAAACUGCGAUUCUUGAGUGAAGUAGAGGCAAGCGGAAUUCCUAGUGUAGCGGUGAAAUGCGUAGAUAUCUGGAGGAACAUCAGUGGCGAAGGCGACUAUCUGGCACAUAACUGACACUGAGGAGCGAAAGCGUGGGUAGCAAACAGGAUUAGAUACC